This is a long non-coding RNA of Apis laboriosa (Himalayan honeybee), 517 nucleotides long. RefSeq lists it as uncharacterized. The transcript has 2 exons. Lineage: Eukaryota; Metazoa; Arthropoda; Insecta; Hymenoptera; Apidae. The record is from RefSeq and is a predicted model, not a curated record.
AGACACUGCAAGAAUACUAUCGGCACGACGAAGCGAGACUCGAGAGCCGCGAGUUGCGAACACUGUGAGCACGAUCGUGGCCGGUACCGUGUCAUGUAGACUCGCCCAAAGGUGUGCUCUUGCCAUAUAUGGGCAUAAAACGAAAGCGGCUCGCUGAUUGGUCCGUUGGCCGGCUGCCGGCUAGAUUCUCCAAAUGCCGCUUCAAACUGUACGAUACGGGGAGCAUAAUGCCUUCUGGAAGCGUAUACUAGCGUAAGGGCUUUCCUGACUAACCGUCAGAGCUGUUUGUAGUAGUAAACAUAUCAAUGUAUGCGAAGAUUAUCACGUUCUUUGUGUAUGUGUGUACCGGCAGUAGGUAUGAGUCAGAAAAAGUUUUGUUAUAUGUAUACUUUGGAAUGGUCAACAUUUUCUUUUACUUAAUGCAAAUCGAAACAUUUAUCAUUGAGAUUUAAUACUUUCUUACAUUUGCAAUCAUUAAUGGAAAUCAUAUUUAAAUAAAGUUUAUUAAAAUAUAAAA